AUUUCUCAGGGCGGGGUGAAAGUCCCCACCGGCGGUGAUCCGGCGUUUUCUGCCGGAAGCCCGCGGGCGGUGCUUCAUGGGAAGGAUCGCAGAUCCGGUGCAAUUCCGGGGCCGACGGUAAUAGUCCGGACGAAAGAGAAA
Molecule: non-coding RNA, 141 nt
Filed under: uncultured Mailhella sp.
Lineage: Bacteria; Pseudomonadati; Thermodesulfobacteriota; Desulfovibrionia; Desulfovibrionales; Desulfovibrionaceae
Description: FMN riboswitch (RFN element)
Rfam family: FMN riboswitch aptamer (RFN element)
About the family: The RFN element is a highly conserved domain that is found frequently in the 5'-untranslated regions of prokaryotic mRNAs that encode for flavin mononucleotide (FMN) biosynthesis and transport proteins.
Source: RNAcentral